GAUGAACGCUGGCGGCGUGCCUAAUACAUGCAAGUCGAGCGAACAGACGAGGAGCUUGCUCCUCUGACGUUAGCGGCGGACGGGUGAGUAACACGUGUAUAACCUACCUAUAAGUCUGGGAUAACUUCGGGAAACCGGAGCUAAUACCGGAUAAUAUAUUGAACCGCAUGGUUCAAUAGUGAAAGACGGUUUUGCUGUCACUUAUAGAUGGAUCCGCGCCGCAUUAGCUAGUUGGUAAGGUAACGGCUUACCAAGGCAACGAUGCGUAGCCGACCUGAGAGGGGGAUCGGCCACACUGGAACUGAGACACGGUCCAGACUCCUACGGGAGGCAGCAGUAGGGAAUCUUACGCAAUGGGCGAAAGCCUGACGGAGCAACGCCGCGUGAGUGAUGAAGGUCUUCGGAUCGUAAAAAUCUGUUAUUAGGGAAGAACAAAUGUGGAAGUAACUAUGCACGUAGUGACGGUACCUAAUCAGAAAGCCACGGCUAACUACGUG
This 497-nucleotide ribosomal RNA is filed under the name uncultured bacterium. Its description in RNAcentral is "partial 16S ribosomal RNA". It matches the Rfam family "Bacterial small subunit ribosomal RNA", at positions 28 to 507 of the family's 1533-position model. The record is from RNAcentral.